RNAcentral lists this ribosomal RNA (440 nucleotides) under uncultured bacterium. RNAcentral's name for it is "partial 16S ribosomal RNA". It matches the Rfam family "Bacterial small subunit ribosomal RNA", at positions 338 to 795 of the family's 1533-position model. The record is from RNAcentral.
CCUACGGGAGGCAGCAGUGGGGAAUAUUGGACAAUGGGGGAAACCCUGAUCCAGCGACGCCGCGUGAGUGAAGAAGUAUUUCGGUACGUAAAGCUCUAUCAGCAGGAAAGAAAAUGACGGUACCUGACUAAGAAGCCCCGGCUAACUACGUGCCAGCAGCCGCGGUAAUACGUAGGGGGCAAGCGUUAUCCGGAUUUACUGGGUGUAAAGGGAUCGUAGACGGCAGCGCAAGUCUGGAGGUAAAUGCCGGGGGCCAACCCCGGAACUGCUCUGGAAACUGUGAAGCUGGAGUGCAGGAGAGGUAAGCGGAAUUCCUGGUGUAGCGGUGAAAUGCGUAGAUAUCAGGAGGAACACCGUCGGCGAAGGCGGCUUACUGGACUGUAACUGACGUUGAGGCUCGAAGGCGUGGGGAGCAAACAGGAUUAGAUACCCUUGUAGUC